This 462-nucleotide ribosomal RNA is filed under the name uncultured bacterium. RNAcentral's name for it is "bacterial SSU rRNA". It matches the Rfam family "Bacterial small subunit ribosomal RNA", at positions 30 to 507 of the family's 1533-position model. The record is from RNAcentral.
AUUGAACGCUGGCGGCAUGCCUUACACAUGCAAGUCGAACGGUAACGGGCCUUCGGGUGCCGACGAGUGGCGAACGGGUGAGUAAUGCAUCGGAACGUGCCCAAUCGUGGGGGAUAACGUAGCGAAAGUUACGCUAAUACCGCAUACGAUCUACGGAUGAAAGCGGGGGAUCGCAAGACCUCGCGCGAUUGGAGCGGCCGAUAUCAGAUUAGGUUGUUGGUGAGGUAAAAGCUCACCAAGCCUGCGAUCUGUAGCUGGUCUGAGAGGACGACCAGCCACACUGGAACUGAGACACGGUCCAGACUCCUACGGGAGGCAGCAGUGGGGAAUAUUGCACAAUGGGCGAAAGCCUGAUGCAGCGACGCCGCGUGAGGGAUGACGGCCUUCGGGUUGUAAACCUCUUUCAGCAGGGAAGAAGCGAAAGUGACGGUACCUGCAGAAGAAGCACCGGCUAACUACGUG